This 253-nucleotide ribosomal RNA is filed under the name uncultured bacterium. Its description in RNAcentral is "partial 16S ribosomal RNA". It matches the Rfam family "Bacterial small subunit ribosomal RNA", at positions 524 to 776 of the family's 1533-position model. The record is from RNAcentral.
UACAGAGGUCUCAAGCGUUGUUCGGAUUCAUUGGGCGUAAAGGGUGCGUAGGUGGUGAUGCAAGUCUGGUGUGAAAUCUCGGAGCUUAACUCCGAAAUUGCACCGGAUACUGCGUUGCUCGAGGACUGUAGAGGAGAUCGGAAUUCACGGUGUAGCAGUGAAAUGCGUAGAUAUCGUGAGGAAGACCAGUUGCGAAGGCGGAUCUCUGGGCAGUUCCUGACGCUGAGGCACGAAGGCCAGGGGAGCAAACGGG